This 1238-nucleotide ribosomal RNA is filed under the name metagenome. RNAcentral's name for it is "bacterial LSU rRNA". It matches the Rfam family "Bacterial large subunit ribosomal RNA", at positions 1564 to 2810 of the family's 2925-position model. The record is from RNAcentral.
UGAAUACGAGACGCUAAGGCGUCGAAGUAGUGUAUGUCAUACUUCCAAGAAAAGCUUGCACUGUCAUAAGUAAAAAAUGCCUGUACCAUAACCGACACAGGUGGGUAGGUAGAGUAUACUAAGGGGCGCGAGAUAACUCUCUCUAAGGAACUCGGCAAAAUAACUCCGUAACUUCGGGAGAAGGAGUACCUUAUUCUAUAAGGUUGCAAUAACAAGAUCCAAGCAACUGUUUAUCAAAAACACAGGUCUCCGCUAAGUCGUAAGACGAUGUAUGGGGGCUGACGCCUGCCCAGUGCCAGAAGGUUAAAGAAGUCGGUUAGCAUUAGCGAAGCUGGUAACUGAAGCCCUGGUGAACGGCGGCCGUAACGAUAACGGUCCUAAGGUAGCGAAAUUCCUUGUCGGGUAAGUUCCGACCCGCACGAAAGGCGUAAUGAUUUGGAUACUGUCUCGGAGAGGGGCUCGGUGAAAUAGACUUGUCUGUGAAGAUGCGGACUACCUGCACCAGGACAGAAAGACCCUAUGAAGCUUUACUGUAACUUGAAAUUGAAAUUGGACAUUAUUCGCGCAGUAUAGGUGGGAGGUGUUGAUUAUAAUCUUGCGGGAUUAUUGGAGCCAUCAGUGAGAUACCACUCUUGUAAUGUUAGAUUUCUAACUUUGAAUCAUUAUCUGGUCAAAGGACAGUUUCAGGCGGGCAGUUUGACUGGGGCGGUCGCCUCCCAAACGGUAACGGAGGCGUACAAAGGUUUCCUCUGAACGGGUAGAAAUCGUAUCUAGAGUGUAAAGGCAUAAGGAAGCUUGACUGUGAGACCUACAAGUCGAACAGGGACGAAAGUCGGUCUUAGUGAUCUGACGGUACUGAGUGGAAAGGCCGUCACUCAACGGAUAAAAGUUACUCUAAGGAUAACAGGCUGAUCUCCCCCAAGAGUUCACAUCGACGGGGAGGUUUGACACCUCGAUGUCGGCUCAUCGCAUCCUGGGGCGGUAGUACGUCCCAAGGGUUGGGCUGUUCGCCCAUGAAAGCGGUACGCGAGCUGGGUUCAGAACGUCGAGAGACAGUUCGGUCCAUAUCCGGUGUAGGCGUUAGAAUAUUGAGAGGAGCCUUCUUUAGUACGAGAGGACCGAGAAGGACAUACCUCUGGUGUACCAGUUAUCGUGCCAACGGUAAACGCUGGGUAGCUAUGUAUGGAGUGGAUAACCGCUGAAAGCAUCUAAGUGGGAAGCCCACCUCAAGAUAAGUA